CACACACAGUCACCCACCGAGACGCAGAGCCCCAAGUGGAAAACAGGAAACGCCCUAAUCACAAGGGUUUGCAACACAAGAUUAGGCUGCAACAUCUUGUGACCGAAAGACACACACAGACAUGUCAAAACAACUUGCACACCACACACACACACACACGCGCACACACACGCACAUAACUUCUCCCUUUUGUCGAGCAUUCAAGGACAAAGGACUUACACCAGAACCAAUAGGAGAAGGACACCAGCAACACCGAGGAAGGAGCUGAACCCGAGGACCAAUCAGACGAGAGGAACCUCCUAGACUCAACCUACAUAAUUUAUUGUAUAAAAUGUCAAUGCACAAUGUCUCGGGGCCUUUCUCUGAUAGUUCCCUCUGAGCUAAAUGAACGGGUCCGUGCAUGCUUUGUCAGAUAUUUUUACCUUUAAUAAACUGCCUUAAAUCAUACCUCAUCCACCUGGUCCAGCGUCUCAACUUGGUCUCACUCCUCUAGUAACUGUAUCAUCAACAAAACAUGGUAGCAGAGGAUGGUUGUGAGAGGAGAGGCAAGUUGGAGGCAAAUCCAGAGAGACGGGUGACCUGAAAAGGAGCCGCCGGGGAUUCAUCUCACCUCAGGAACCUGAUCUAAAAAGUUGACUAAACAAAGCUCUCUCCAAACAGAUCCACAAGGUCCAAGAGGGGGAGCUGACGGGAGAUCCGGUGCCACUGAAGGUAAAGGUUGGUGACUGGGUGAGGGUGAAGGUCCACAAGAGGAAGUGGCUUGAACCCAGGUGGGCUGGACCGUACGAAGUGAAGGAGGUUACUUCACACUCAGUCCAGGUCAAAGUUAAAUCGGGCGCACCUUGGCACCACCUCACACAUUGCACCCCAGCACCAACUCCUUCCAGAACAUUGACUGAGGUCAGGGCCGAUUUGAACGCCCUCAAUUUGACACCAAAUUCAGUUCCUCUGCCCUGUGACGAUGUGGAUGAGACUCCCAUCAACACAGGCUAGAGGGCCUAACCCAGGGAUGAGAUACAGAAAUCCCUGGGAUAGGCUGGGGAUCGCUGGUCCCUUGUUUGUUAUUUUCAUCCUAAUCACUGGAGUUUCCUUAGGAACCCUCACGUGGUUAUUACAGCACAUGACACAUCCACCUAUCUCACACCCCAGCCAAGCUAAUGUCACAUCUAGCACCACUCUAUACAACAUCACUGAACACACCCAGAGCCAUGCGAUACGCAAAUGACACAUUGGACCAAUCACCCAGAAUUGCGCAACUGACCAAGUGAGAAGCACUACCCUAUGUGUUCCUGUAAACACAACCACCACUGUUACCGUACCUUGGGGAAUGCUAGAGAGCUCUAGAAACAGUGGUAAUGGGCCACUAUGGCAGACCACUUAUCAUUGGUACAUGACAAAAGGGGGCCUAGAUGACUGGUCCUGGAAAAAUCUUGUCGCCGAAACGGGCCCAGACUGGUCAAGCUACUCAAGAGGAGCAGACGUAAGAUUAUGGCGAAGUAAGCUCACACUCACGAAGUUGCAGGUGGGCCUGUAGAUGGUUAUUCCACCCGGGGUGAGGGAGGGUUGCCAAUCUUUUGUGUUGGCCCCAUGGAUGCAGUACAGGGGUGCACCAUUGUAUAUUUACUAUUUUAAAUGGAUUUUACAUAUCUGCUUUGUGCCAGCUCCCAUCCCAUCCUCUGUCACUAUAAAGGAUGAGCCGACAAAGGUGGUGGAGGCUGGAGGUCUGGGCAGGUGGGGACCCGACAUACAUAGAUGGCAUAGGGGUCCCAAAGGGGGUUCCAGAUGAGUACAAAUUGAUAGACCAAGUGGCAGCAGGUUUUGAAUCAUCUAUCUGCUGGUGGUGUACAGUAAACAAAAAUGUUGACAGAAUAAAUUAUAUCCAUUACAACGUGCAAAAACUAGGCAAUUGGACACAACAAGGCUUUGAAGCGGUACAUGGUCAACUGUCUGCAACUUCCCUCAUGGCCUUCCAAAAUCGUAUUGCUAUUGAUAUGUUACUGGCCGAGAAAGGCGGGGUCUGUUCCAUGUUUGGGGAACAAUGAAGAAACACUUUGGGGUAGACACCUCCAUGUGGGACUCAUGGAUGGAUGCGUUUGGCAAGUAUAAAACCCUGGUCUCAUCUAUCCUCGUUUCCAUUUCGGUCUUUGCAGCCAUCCUAGUCCUUUGUGGGUGCUGUUGCAUUCCAUGUGCCCGUACAUUGACUACUAGGGUUAUCACAUCGGCUAUUGAUCCGAAUUAAACUAGCCAAAUGUAUCCCUUGCUUGUAGUGGAGGAAGCUGAAGGUCUGUAUGAUGAAGGACUCUAUUAGCCCAUGUGCCACGUCUCUUGUGAGACGUGAAGAGGGGGAUUUGUAAUAAAUAUAUCAUGCUAACAUUAUAAGCUUGCUAGUUGCAACAUAGAAUUUAAUCAUACACUUAUUAAGUAGGGCGUUGUUGGAACCCAUCCGGUAUUACUUAAGUUGUCUACUGAGCCUCUCUACAAUGUUUGGUCAGUGUUUGGCCAACACACUGAAACAGGGUGAGCCAAUAUAGAUUAGGCAUUGCACGGUAUCGAGUGAGCACACACACACACACACAGUCACCCACCAAGACGCAGAACCCCAAGUGGAAAACAGGAAACGCCCUAAUCACAAGGGUUUGCAACACAAGAUUAGGCUGCAACAUCUUGUGACCGAAAGACACACACAGACAUGUCAAAACAACUUGCACACCACACACACACACACACACACACACGCACACACACACGCACAUAACUUCUCCCUUUUGUCGAGCAUUCAAGGACAAAGGACUUACACCAGAACCAAUAGGAGAAGGACACCAGCAACACCGAGGAAGGAGCUGAACCCGAGGACCAAUCAGACGAGAGGAACCUCCUAGACUCAACCUACAUCAUUUAUUGUAUAAAAUGUCAAUGCACAAUGUCUCGGGGCCUUUCUCUGAUAGUUCCCUCUGAGCUAAAUGAACGGGUCCGUGCAUGCUUUGUCAGAUAUUUUUACCUUUAAUAAACUGCCUUAAAUCAUACCUCA
This is a long non-coding RNA of Oncorhynchus masou masou (cherry salmon), 3028 nucleotides long. RefSeq lists it as uncharacterized. The transcript has 2 exons. NCBI's taxonomy places the organism in Eukaryota, Metazoa, Chordata, Actinopteri, Salmoniformes, Salmonidae. The record is from RefSeq and is a predicted model, not a curated record.